AGUCAUAUGCUUGUCUCAAAGACUAAGCCAUGCAUGUCUAAGUAUAAGUAUUAUACAGCGAAACUGCGAAUGGCUCAUUAAAACAGUUAUAGUCUACAUGAUGGUCACAUCGUUAUAUGGAUAACUGUGGUAAUUCUAGAGCUAAUACAUGCGUAAAAACCCGACUUCUUGGAAGGGUUGUAUUUAUUAGAUACAGAACCAAUACUCUUCGGAGUUUUUUGGAUGAUUCAUGAUAAGCGAAUGGAGCACGUGGCUUGUGCCGGUGCUGUAUCAUUCGAGUUUCUGACCUAUCAGCUUUCGACGGUAGGGUAUUGGCCUACCGUGGCAUUGACGGGUGACGGAGAAUUAGGGUUCGAUUCCGGAGAGGGAGCCCGAGAAACGGCUACCACAUCUAAGGAAGGCAGCAGGCGCGCAAAUUACCCAAUCCUGAUACAGGGAGGUAGUGACAAGAAAUAACAAAGCGAGUGCUUAUCGCAUUUUGCUAUUGGAAUGAGUAGAAUUUAGAUCACUUUUCGACUAUCAAU
Molecule: ribosomal RNA, 524 nt
Filed under: uncultured eukaryote
Lineage: Eukaryota
Description: SSU rRNA
Rfam family: Eukaryotic small subunit ribosomal RNA
Source: RNAcentral